Molecule: small nuclear RNA, 107 nt
Organism: Physeter macrocephalus (sperm whale)
Lineage: Eukaryota; Metazoa; Chordata; Mammalia; Artiodactyla; Physeteridae
Source: Ensembl
GUGCUUGCUUUGGCAGCACAUAUACUAAAAUUGGAACAAUACAAAGAAGAUUAGCAUGGCCCCUGAGCAAGGAGGACACACAAAUUCGUGGAGUCUUCCAUAUUUUU